This 460-nucleotide ribosomal RNA is filed under the name uncultured bacterium. Its description in RNAcentral is "partial 16S ribosomal RNA". It matches the Rfam family "Bacterial small subunit ribosomal RNA", at positions 338 to 795 of the family's 1533-position model. The record is from RNAcentral.
CCUACGGGUGACAGCAGUGAGGAAUAUUGGUCAAUGGACGCGAGCCUGAACCAGCCAAGUAGCGUGAAGGAUGACUGCCCUACGGGUUGUAAACUUCUUUUAUAAAGGAAUAAAGUGAGGCACGUGUGCCUUUUUGUAUGUACUUUAUGAAUAAGGAUCGGCUAACUCCGUGCCAGCAGCCGCGGUAAUACGGAGGAUCCGAGCGUUAUCCGGAUUUAUUGGGUUUAAAGGGAGCGUAGAUGGGUUGUUAAGUCAGUUGUGAAAGUUUGCGGCUCAACCGUAAAAUUGCAAUUGAUACUGGCAGUCGUGAGUACAGUUGAGGUAGGCGGAAUUCGUGGUGUAGCGGGGAAAUGCUUAGAUAUCACGAAGAACCCCGAUUGCGAAGGCAGCCUACUAAACUGUGACUGACAUUGAUGCUCGAAAGUGUGGGUAUCAAACAGGAUUAGAUACCCGAGUAGUC